Molecule: ribosomal RNA, 449 nt
Filed under: uncultured bacterium
Lineage: Bacteria
Description: partial 16S ribosomal RNA
Rfam family: Bacterial small subunit ribosomal RNA
Source: RNAcentral
AGCGAACGCUGGCGGCAGGCCUAACACAUGCAAGUCGAACGAACUCUUCGGAGUUAGUGGCGGACGGGCGAGUAACACGUGGGAACGUGCCUUUAGGUUCGGAAUAACUCAGGGAAACUUGUGCUAAUACCGAAUGUGCCCUUCGGGGGAAAGAUUUAUCGCCUUUAGAGCGGCCCGCGUCUGAUUAGCUAGUUGGUGAGGUAACGGCUCACCAAGGCGACGAUCAGUAGCUGGUCUGAGAUGAUGGCCAGCCACACUGGGACUGAGACACGGCCCAGACUCCUACGGGAGGCAGGAGUGGGGAAUCUUGCGCAAUGGGCGAAAGCAUGACGCAGCCAUGCCGCGUGAAUGAUGAAGGUCUUAGGAUUGUAAAAUUCUUUCACCGGGGACGAUAAUGACGGUACCCGGAGAAGAAGCCCCGGCUAACUUCGUGCCAGCCGCCGCCGUAA